RNAcentral lists this non-coding RNA (30 nucleotides) under Homo sapiens (human). Lineage: Eukaryota; Metazoa; Chordata; Mammalia; Primates; Hominidae. The record is from RNAcentral.
UGGCUAAAAAUCAGUAAGAAAAGGAUGAUC